CCUACGGGUGGCUGCAGUGGGGAAUAUUGGACAAUGGGGGGAACCCUGAUCCAGCCAUGCCGCGUGUGUGAAGAAGGCCCUCGGGUUGUAAAGCACUUUCAGUGAGGAAGAACGCCUGGUGGUUAAUACCCAUCAGGAAAGACAUCACUCACAGAAGAAGCACCGGCUAACUCCGUGCCAGCAGCCGCGGUAAUACGGAGGGUGCGAGCGUUAAUCGGAAUUACUGGGCGUAAAGCGCGCGUAGGUGGCUUGAUAAGCCGGUUGUGAAAGCCCCGGGCUCAACCUGGGAACGGCAUCCGGAACUGUCAAGCUAGAGUGCAGGAGAGGAAGGUAGAAUUCCCGGUGUAGCGGUGAAAUGCGUAGAGAUCGGGGGGAAUACCAGUGGCGAAGGCGGCCUUCUGGACUGACACUGACACUGAGGUGCGAAAGCGUGGGUAGCAAACAGGAUUAGAUACCCCGGUAGUC
RNAcentral lists this ribosomal RNA (465 nucleotides) under Vreelandella stevensii. RNAcentral's name for it is "partial 16S ribosomal RNA". It matches the Rfam family "Bacterial small subunit ribosomal RNA", at positions 338 to 795 of the family's 1533-position model. Lineage: Bacteria; Pseudomonadati; Pseudomonadota; Gammaproteobacteria; Oceanospirillales; Halomonadaceae. The record is from RNAcentral.